RNAcentral lists this ribosomal RNA (972 nucleotides) under uncultured eukaryote. Its description in RNAcentral is "SSU rRNA". It matches the Rfam family "Eukaryotic small subunit ribosomal RNA", at positions 47 to 1039 of the family's 1831-position model. The record is from RNAcentral.
AGCCAUGCAUGUCUAAGUAUAAGUAUUAUACAGCGAAACUGCGAAUGGCUCAUUAAAACAGUUAUGGUUUAUUUGAUAAUCGAAUUUUACAUGGAUAACCGUGGUAAUUCUAGAGCUAAUACAUGCUGGUGUGCCUGACUUUUCGGAAGGGCGGUAUUUAUUAGAUAACGAACCAAUAUUCCUCUGGUCUAUUGUGGUGAAUCAUAAUAACUGAUCGAAUCGCAAAGCCUUUGGCUGCGAUAUGUCAUUCAAGUUUCUGCCCCAUCAGCUUUCGAUGGUAGUGUAUUGGACUACCAUGGCUUUUACGGGUAACGGAGAAUUAGGGUUCGAUUCCGGAGAGGGAGCCUGAGAAACGGCUACCACAUCUAAGGAAGGCAGCAGGCGCGUAAAUUACCCAAUCCUGACUCAGGGAGGUAGUGACAAGAAAUAACGGACCGGCCUUUCGAGGCUCGGGAUUGCAAUGAGCCGAAUUUACACCCCUUAGCGAGGACCCAUUGGAGGGCAAGUCUGGUGCCAGCAGCCGCGGUAAUUCCAGCUCCAAUAGCGUAUAUUAAAGUUGUUGCAGUUAAAAAGCUCGUAGUUGGAUUUCUGGGGAGGUGCCAAUGUCACCUUAGUGUUGCGCAGCGGCGCCUCUCCAUCCUUCUGUUAACGCCGUCGGUCCUUAAUCGGUCUGCGGCGGGCUCAGAUAUUUUACCUUGAGAAAAUUAGAGUGUUUCAGGCAGGCCAGGCCGGAAUACAUUAGCAUGGAAUAAUGGAAUAGGACUUUAGUCUCUUUGUUGGUUUGGGGGACUGCAGUAAUGAUUAAUAGGGAUAGUUGGGGGCAUUAAUACUUAACUGUCAGAGGUGGAAUUCUCAGAUUUGUUAAAGAUUAACUUAUGCGAAAGCAUUUGCCAAGGAUGUUUUCAUUAAUCAAGAACGAAAGUUAGGGGAUCAAAGACGAUCAGAUACCGUCCUAGUCUUAACCAUAAACUA